UGGGGAAUCUUGCGCAAUGGCCGAAAGGCUGACGCAGCGACGCCGCGUGGGGGAUGAAGGUUUUCGGAUCGUAAACCCCUGUUGCCCGGGACGAACAGCCCUUUCGAGGGACUUGACGGUACCGGGUGAGGAAGCACCGGCUAACUCCGUGCCAGCAGCCGCGGUAAUACGGAGGGUGCGAGCGUUGUCCGGAAUCACUGGGCGUAAAGGGCGCGUAGGCGGCUGGGGAAGUCGGUGGUGAAAGCUCGUGGCUCAACUACGAGUCGGCCAACGAUACUCCUCGGCUCGAGCACUGUAGAGGCAGGUGGAAUUCCGGGUGUAGCGGUGGAAUGCGUAGAGAUCCGGAAGAACACCGGUGGCGAAGGCGGCCUGCUGGGCAGUAGCUGACGCUGAGGCGCGACAGCGUGGGGAGCAAACA
Molecule: ribosomal RNA, 418 nt
Filed under: uncultured Gemmatimonadota bacterium
Lineage: Bacteria; Pseudomonadati; Gemmatimonadota
Also listed under: 1 other name
Description: partial 16S ribosomal RNA
Rfam family: Bacterial small subunit ribosomal RNA
Source: RNAcentral